UUGUUUAGAAUUAUAAGACUUUCCAGACAGC
Molecule: non-coding RNA, 31 nt
Filed under: Rattus norvegicus (Norway rat)
Lineage: Eukaryota; Metazoa; Chordata; Mammalia; Rodentia; Muridae
Source: RNAcentral